Molecule: ribosomal RNA, 524 nt
Filed under: uncultured bacterium
Lineage: Bacteria
Description: partial 16S ribosomal RNA
Rfam family: Bacterial small subunit ribosomal RNA
Source: RNAcentral
GACGAACGCUGGCGGCGUGCUUAACACAUGCAAGUCGAACGAGACGAUUGAAAGCUUGCUUUCGAAAGUCGAGUGGCAAACGGGUGAGUAACGCGUAGACAACCUGCCUUUGAGAUGGGGAUAACAGUUCGAAAGGACUGCUAAUACCGAAUGUUGUAUAUUUUCCACAUGGAAGAUAUAUUAAAGAUGGCCUCUAUUUAUAAGCUAUCGCUCAAAGAUGGGUCUGCGUCUGAUUAGCUGGUUGGUGGGGUAACGGCCUACCAAGGCGAUGAUCAGUAGCCGGUCUGAGAGGAUGAACGGCCACAUUGGGACUGAGACACGGCCCAGACUCCUACGGGAGGCAGCAGUGGGGAAUCUUCCACAAUGGACGAAAGUCUGAUGGAGCAACGCCGCGUGAGUGAAGAAGGGUUUCGGCUCGUAAAGCUCUGUUGUCGGGGACGAAUGUGCAGUAUUUGAAUAAAGUACUGUAAUGACGGUACCUGACGAGGAAGCCACGGCUAACUACGUGCCAGCCGCCGCGGUAA